Molecule: long non-coding RNA, 2133 nt
Organism: Oncorhynchus masou masou (cherry salmon)
Lineage: Eukaryota; Metazoa; Chordata; Actinopteri; Salmoniformes; Salmonidae
Exons: 3
Source: RefSeq, a predicted model, not a curated record
UCAUACCAGAAAGCUCUGGGACCCCUACUGGAUCUUUGCAGAGGCUUACAGCAAGCAGCGUGGUUAUACAACUCACUUUGCAUGUAAGCGUGACUCGGCAGAAAGUUUAAAGCGAUAGCGCAGCAAGCGCCGGACUCACAAUGCAAAGGAAACUAUGUGGACUGCCUAAGAUUUGACUGUUACAAGCUGUACCUUUUCUUGUGAAAGAAAAUGGAUAUUUCACUGUCUCUCUCUGGAAUGUUUCCAGGGACUAUACUCUUGGGGAGAGUGAGUGAAAUUGAGACCAUAAACUAUCACAUUGGAGGGGGCCUGGAAGUUUUUUGUUUUAGUGCAAAGGUAUAGGUCUAACGUCUUGAUCCUUGGCUCUACGAUGGAGUUGACAGUGAGAUGGGGAGUAUAAACCAAUUUGAAAGAAUAGUUUCAAUAGAAUAUUUUGAUAUUCUCUGUGAAAUAUGUUUAGAUAUGUGUAUUAAGAAUAAUUGAUAAAAGUAAUCAUUUAUCAUGUAGUUAAUGAACUGAGCUAAACUGUUGUUCUGAUCUGUUCUUUCGAGGUUAUCAUGAAAAGUGACAUCAGACGGUAUCUUAAUACAUGGAAGAGAUAAUUGGACCGAAUGGUGUGUGUACCUCAAAACCCCCUCUAACUGGCUGAAGAAGAGUGACAAAGGCGCUGAAGGAGGCUUUCCAAACCACUUCUACCGAGAGAAAAGAACCAAGCCAGAAAUUGGUGUACAGUAUCAGAUCUAAGCUUUCAACUGCUUUUCUUUCAUGAGUCCACUUGGAGUGAUCAUGGAGAGAGAUCUGUUCUAACAUUUUCUUAUGAUGCUGGUAUAUUGGUUGACGACUGGACAUGAGUGGUAAAGAUGAGACAUUGAAAUUGGGACAUUAUCAUGGGCCGUCCACUUUGAACUGUAAAGCUAUCUGAAGAAAAAUGAAAGAGACGCCAGACGAUGCAGUGCCUGGGGGGGUUGGUCAACUGUGCCAUUAAAUUGUUUAUACUUUUUUCAGGUUGAUUGAAGAGGUCUACACCAUGUAAAUUGUGGCAAUUUAGAUUAAGAAUGCAGAUACUGAUACUGAUCUGUAUUAUAAUCAUGAUUAAAAAAGUUAAUAGUAGAAUUAUGGGAUAAUUAUACUGUAUGUAAGUAAAUCUGCUAAUAUUGAUGUGUAUUAAAUUGAGGUUUUUACUUUGAGUGAUAAGACAAAUUUGAAUCACGGAGGAAUGCUAUUCUAAAUAUUGGUUGGAUAAAUAGUUGGGUUGUUACUUAUGAUUUGGAAUAUGAAUGAUUUCAUUGCCCUAUUCCCUAUUCCUGAGUAUAUUUCUGAGCAUGAGGACUUAGAGGAAUGUCUGUCCUAUAUGUUGUGAGGAGGCCUGUGUUUAGACACUGGUUCUCAUGUAACUUAAAGAGCAUUUAUAUGUUAUGUUUUUAUUUUCCUCAAAUAGAUUAUUCUGUGUUAUUAAACAUGUGCAAAUUUGUCUUGUAGAAUAAAGGUUGUAAACAUAGUUUCAGAAGGGAGAAAGCUUACAUAUAAACUAAGGUAUUUGACAUUGAGGGGAUUUGAAUUUUUAUAUUGAGUAUGUAAUUAAUAAUCUGAUUCUUUAGAAGGGACAAUGUCCCUUGAGAGUGGAAUGUUGGGGAAUAAUCAGAAUUAGUUGGUAACAUAGGAAAGAUGUUUUAUAUUCAUCAUAUGUUUGUAAGUUACUUCUCAUCAGAAUGUUGUUUUUGUAUAAUACUGUGGUGGGGUUGCAGUAUCUGUUCUGUCAAGACUAAGUUGCUUGGCCCGGAGAGAGUUCAAGCGUGUAUCUCUUGGCUCCACAAUGUCUGUGUGCCAGCCAGUGUGUCUCUGUGAUCUUGUCAAGAUAGGAUGGAUUUGAUAUAUGCCUGUUGAUAUGGAGGAUUGGUUUAUGGUUCUGAGUUUGAGAAAGGAGACAAAGCUGAACAAUGAAUUAUGCCGAUGCUGUCUUAUCCUGUGUGUGUCUUUGCUAUAAAGGAUCUCAGUUGAGAUGUGGAAGGGACUCUCAGAGAAUUCAUUGAUAGACACUGAAUUGAUCUGAGAGUCACAGGGUUGUGAUAGAGCUCAUAUAAUUAAAGAUGGACUUUGAUAACUAACUCUGACUUGUGUGUGGUUUGCUCUCAU